Molecule: non-coding RNA, 1376 nt
Organism: Arachis ipaensis
Lineage: Eukaryota; Viridiplantae; Streptophyta; Magnoliopsida; Fabales; Fabaceae
Source: RefSeq, a predicted model, not a curated record
UGCAAAGUAGCAAGUUGCAGCAUGGAUGGACCUUCCAUCAGGUUCCCCUUCAGGCUGAAAGGAACACAACCAGAAUGUUGUAGCCAUGAUUCUUCCUUUGAUCUUUCUUGCACUGAUACCACCAACACAAUGCUGCAGCUCCCAUUCUCUUUCAAGGCCUUAGUCAAAAGCAUCAACUAUUCAUCACAACUCAUAACUCUCUCUUAUCCUCAAGGCUGCUCCAUUCACUCACACAUUCCACUGUUUGACUUUUCUCUUUCUCCUUUUAGCUUCAUUGAUGGCUCUCUACUCCAUAAUUAUGCAUUGUUCAAUUGUUCGAGGAUGGAUAAGGAAUACUUCUUAGCAUCUAGAAGCUUUUCUUGCCUUCAUGUACUUUUCAAGUUGUAACAGUGAAUUCUGAUCAAUCCAUUGUUAAAUACUCAGUUAUUCUCUUGCACUAGUAUCCGCAGCAGUGUACCAUUGCCUAGUUCUUUGUUUGACAGGAACAUUGAUACUGUUCUUAAUUGGUUCCAACCGGAUUGCAAAGACUGCGAAAGUGAGAGGAAACGAAUCCAAUCAUAGGCUUGAAUGUAUAGGCCUCCCCCAUAGUACUAAGGGUUUACAUAGAGGGAAAAAGCUUGCUGGUGAAAUUCUAGGCCCUUUUAUGUUUCUAUUUGUUGGAGUGGCAGCUUAUUGUGUCUAUGUAGCUGGCAAUGAAAGGCUGAGUUAUAUGAAGAUCAAAAAGCUUUUGGAGGACUACAAAGCACUUAAGCCUGCAAGGUACUCUUAUGCAGAUAUAAGAAGAAUUACAAAUCAGUUUAGCGAAGAAUUGGGGCAAGGAGCAUAUGAACCUGUCUUCAAAGGGAAGCUAGGGGAUGAAAUUGAGGUUGCUGUAAAGGUCUUAAAUGCUUCAUCAGGUAAUGGCCAAGAGUUCAUCAAUGAAAUGGAAGCAAUGUGUCAAAUUCACCAUGUCAAUGUGGCUCGCUUGGUCAGAUUUUGUUCUGAUGGAUCUAGAAGAGCUUUGGUAUACGAAUUUUUAUGAAAUGGUUCGUUGCAAAAAUUCAUUUCCUCAGCAGACACCAAAGAUGCCUUUCUAGGCUGGGAAAAGCUACAAGAUAUUGCUCUUGGCAUAGCCAAGGGAAUUGAGUAUCUUCACCAAGGAUGUGAGAAAAGAAUUUUACAUUUUGAUAUCAAGCCUCGUAAUGUACUUCUAGACAGUGAUUUCACACCAAAACUCUCUGAUUUUGGUUUAGCAAAGCUCUGCCCAAGGAUCAAAGUAUAGUGUCAAUGACCACAGCUAGGGGUACUUUGGGCUACAUUGCACCAGAGGUAUUUUCUAGGAACUUUGGCAAUGUAUCGUGUAAAUCGGAUGUAUAUAGUUAUGGAAUGCUGCUGCU